UUUGAUGGUUGAACGUAAUAAGUGUGGUUCAUGGACGUAAUCCAUGAUCCUCAAGGAGAGGAUCAAUGGUGGUGUCCUUUUAGUGUGUUUUAGAAUGAUUUGCAUGGAAGCUCAGUCUUGGGGGUUAUCCUAAAAUUACAAUGGUUAAUCAUUCUCAAGUAGAGAGGAUUGAACCAUGUCGUGAAUAGUAGUAGGAGGUCUUAGUCUUGGAGGCUUCCAGUAUGCUUCAAGGCG
RNAcentral lists this long non-coding RNA (234 nucleotides) under Vigna radiata. RNAcentral describes it as "long non-coding RNA (VRAD_LNC013026)". The record is from RNAcentral. Lineage: Eukaryota; Viridiplantae; Streptophyta; Magnoliopsida; Fabales; Fabaceae.